AGAGUUUGAUCAUGGCUCAGGAUGAACGCUGGCGGCGUGCCUAACACAUGCAAGUCGAGCGAAGAUUCAGAGGCGUACUUGUACAAAUCUAAAUCUUAGCGGCGGACGGGUGAGUAACACGUGAGUAACCUGCCCUUCAGUGGGGAAUAACAACGAGAAAUCGUUGCUAAUACCGCAUAACGUAUCAGAAUCGCAUGAUUCAGAUACCAAAGGAGUAAUUCGCUGAAGGAUGGACUCGCGUCCGAUUAGCUAGUUGGUGAGGUAAUGGCUCACCAAGGCAACGAUCGGUAGCCGAACUGAGAGGUUGAUCGGCCACAUUGGGACUGAGACACGGCCCAGACUCCUACGGGAGGCAGCAGUGGGGAAUAUUGGGCAAUGGGGGAAACCCUGACCCAGCAACGCCGCGUGAAGGAAGAAGGUCUUCGGAUUGUAAACUUCUUUGAUCAGGGACGAACAAAUGACGGUACCUGAGGAACAAGCCACGGCUAACUACGUGCCAGCAGCCGCGGUAAUACGUAGGUGGCAAGCGUUAUCCGGAUUUACUGGGUGUAAAGGGCGUGUAGGCGGUUUUGCAAGUCAGAUGUGAAAUCUCCGGGCUUAACCCGGAAACUGCAUCUGAAACUGCAGAACUUGAGUAUUGGAGAGGAUAGUGGAAUUCCUAGUGUAGCGGUAAAAUGCGUAGAUAUUAGGAGGAACACCAGUGGCGAAGGCGACUAUCUGGACAGUAACUGACGCUGAGGCGCGAAAGCGUGGGGAGCAAACAGGAUUAGAUACCC
Molecule: ribosomal RNA, 776 nt
Filed under: uncultured bacterium
Lineage: Bacteria
Description: bacterial SSU rRNA
Rfam family: Bacterial small subunit ribosomal RNA
Source: RNAcentral